This 267-nucleotide long non-coding RNA is filed under the name Anas platyrhynchos platyrhynchos (common mallard). Its description in RNAcentral is "lncRNA (ENSAPLG00000022731.1)". The record is from RNAcentral. Lineage: Eukaryota; Metazoa; Chordata; Aves; Anseriformes; Anatidae.
GGGUGCAGGUAGGGAGCUCAGCGUGCUGGCUGGGUGCUCAGGGUGCUCUCAGGGUGCAAGUAGGGUGCAGGCAGGGUGCAAGUAGGGCGCACUCAGGGCACAAUUAGGGUGCUCAGGGUGCAGGUAGGGCGCACUCAGGGUGCAGUCAGGGCACAAGGCGGGUGCUCAGGGUGCAAAGAGGGUGCUCAGGGUGCAGCCAGGGUACACUCAGGGCACAGUUAGGGUGCUCAGGGUGCAGGCAGGGUGCUCAGGGUGCUCAGGAUGCAA